Molecule: ribosomal RNA, 459 nt
Filed under: uncultured bacterium
Lineage: Bacteria
Description: partial 16S ribosomal RNA
Rfam family: Bacterial small subunit ribosomal RNA
Source: RNAcentral
CCUACGGGUGGCAGCAGUGAGGAAUAUUGGUCAAUGGACGAGAGUCUGAACCAGCCAAGUAGCGUGAAGGAUGACUGCCCUAUGGGUUGUAAACUUCUUUUGUCAAGGGACAAAAUCAGGCUCGAGAGCCUGACCGAGGGUACUUGAAGAAAAAGCAUCGGCUAACUCCGUGCCAGCAGCCGCGGUAAUACGGAGGAUGCGAGCAUUAUCCGGAUUUAUUGGGUUUAAAGGGUGGGUAGGCGGACUGUUAAGUCAGCGGUAAAAGCCCGGGGCUCAACCCCGGCGAGCCGUUGAAACUGGCUGUCUUGAGAUGUCGAGAGGUAUGCGGAAUGCGCAGUGUAGCGGUGAAAUGCUUAGAUAUUGCGCAGAACUCCGAUUGCGAAGGCAGCAUACCGGCGGCGAUCUGACGCUGAGGCACGAAAGCGUGGGUAUCGAACAGGAUUAGAUACCCCUGUAGUC